UGGCGUAAGGGUGCUUAACACGUGGGUAAUCUGCCGCGAAGUGUGGGAUAACUCGCUGAAAGGCGAGCUAAUACCGCAUGUGAUCUUCUUGAGGCAUCUCAAGGAAUUCAAACAUGGGUCGCAAGACCUGUGGUUUCGCGAUGAGCCCGCGGCCUAUCAGCUAGUUGGCGGGGUAAAAGCCCACCAAGGCUAAGACGGGUAGCUGGUCUGAGAGGACGACCAGCCACACUGGAACUGAGACACGGUCCAGACACCUACGGGUGGCAGCAGUCGAGAAUUUUUCACAAUGGGGGAAACCCUGAUGGAGCGACGCCGCGUGGGGGAUGAAGGGCUUCGGUUCGUAAACCCCUGUCAUUGGCGAACAAGUGUUGCGCUCUAAUACAGUGUAACUUGAUAGUAGCCGAAGAGGAAGGGACGGCUAACUCUGUGCCAGCAGCCGCGGUAAUACAGAGGUCCCGAGCGUUGUUCGGAUUCACUGGGCGUAAAGGGUGCGUAGGUGGUUGGUUAAGUUUGAGGUGAAAGCUCCGAGCUCAACUCGGAAAAUGCCUUGAAGACUAUCUGACUAGAGGAUUGGAGGGGAGAUUGGAAUUCUCGGUGUAGCAGUGAAAUGCGUAGAUAUCGAGAGGAACACCAGUGGCGAAGGCGAAUCUCUGGACAAUUCCUGACACUGAGGCACGAAAGCCAAGGGAGCAAACGGGAUUAGAUACCCCGGUAGUCUUGGCCGUAAACGGUGCGCACUUGCUGUGAGCGGAUUCGACCCCGCUCGUGGCGUAGUUAACACGAUAAGUGCGCCGCCUGGGAAGUACGGUCGCGAGAUUAAA
This 821-nucleotide ribosomal RNA is filed under the name uncultured bacterium. RNAcentral describes it as "bacterial SSU rRNA". It matches the Rfam family "Bacterial small subunit ribosomal RNA", at positions 96 to 898 of the family's 1533-position model. The record is from RNAcentral.